GGUUUUUAGGGCCAUACCUGUGGCAUGUGGAAGUUCCCAGGCUAGGGGGCAAAUUGGAGCUACAGCUGCCGGCCUACACCACAGCCACAGCAAUGCAGGAUCCAAGCCACAUCUGUGACCUACACCUCAUGGCAAUGCUGGGUCCUUAACCCACUGAGAGAGGCCAGGGAUCAAACCCACACUCUCAUGGAUACUAGUCGGAUGUGUUUCCACUGUGCCACAACAGGAACUCCAGGAAUUUCUAUUAUCUGCAAGGAAGAUGGAAAAUACUAGCAAAUGAACCAAGCCAUCCUCCUAAAAAGUAGAAGAAAAACUAUCGCUGCUUCUCCUAUUGUCUGCUUUCUCUGUUUACAAAUCGGAACCGAGCUGAAGGCCGGGCAGCCCCUCUAUUGCCUAACUGCUAGUUGCUAAGGUUACCACAGUACUACACACAUCAGAUUUCGUCCACCCAACUGGAUAGAGCAAUUCUCAGGAAAACAAGCUUGACCCAGGACAGGAAAAGGUAGGGGACAUUGUGCCAAAGUAUGAUCCCCAAAAGGAGAGGUAGAUGGGAGCCCAAGAGCCCUGGUGGGACUAUUCACUGGGAAUUGUACAUUUUAUUUAUUUUUUCCUUUUUUAUAUAAUGAUUUUUAUUUUUUUCCAUUAUAGCUGGUUUACAGCAUUCUGUCAAUUUUCUGCUAUACAGCAUGGUGAACCAGUUACACAUACAUGCACACAUUCUCUUUUCUCACACUAUCCAGCUCCAUCACAAGUGACCAGACACAGUUCCCAGUGCCACACAGCAGGAUCUCAUUGCUAAUCCAUUCCAAAGGCAAUAGUCUGCAUCUAUUAACCCCAAGUUCCCAAUCCAUCCCACUCCCUCCCCCUUGGCAACCACAAGUCUAUUCUCCAAGUCCAUGAUUUCCCUUUUUUAAAUUUUUCUUUUUAUGGCCACACCUGCAGCAUAUGGAAGUUCCCGGGCUAGGUAUCAAAUCAGGGCUGCAGCUGCAGGCCUAUGCCACAGCCGUGGCAACACCAGAACUGAACUGCAUCUGUGACCCAGACUGCCCCUUGUGGCAACGCUGAGCGAGGCCAGAAUUGAACCCGCAUUCUCACAGACUCUUGUGUUGGGUUCUUAACCCACAGAGCCACAACAGAAACUCCUGUACAUUUUAAUGAACCAUGUUGUUGAAAAUUUUAGAGAACAGAGCAGCAAAGGCAGGAAAUAAUCAGACUAAAUGAUCAGGACUUGCUGGACACUGGGAAUCUAGUUAUAAGCUGAAAACACAAACUUGCCUCAAAUUGCAGAUGUGAAAAGGAGAUCUGGAGUCCAGCCACCAGAAAAUAAUCAUCAAAGGAAGCAAAUAAUGAUAGUAAUAAAGUUGUGAUGCCAAAAGGAGACACAGUGAUUUUAAAAAUCAAAGAAUACAAGUAGUUUAAGUAAGUGAUGAGGUAAAAUAUAAAUAUACCCAGAGCAUUUAUGUUCCUCUACACUAUCAGAAACUGAUUUAAAAACAUAAUAAGAAAAAGAAAGACUCCGUUUAUAAUUAGAAAGCAUUAACCAGAAAUAUCUAGAAAUGAUGCUAAGAAAUGUGUCAUAGAAACUCAUAUGAUGAAAACUAUAAAGUUUUAAUGAAAGCAAUAAAGGACUUACAUAUAAGAAGGUAUAAACAGAUUUCUCUAUGCGUGACCACAAUUGAAAAAGUGACAGUCCUCCACAUAAUUAUAUACAUUGGUACAGUGCUAGUGGAGUAGAAAUUACAAAGGACUUGAAUAAUUUUGACCAAAUUACUUUGAAGUUCAUUUUGAAGAAUAAGCAGGGGAAAAAAAAAUGAAAGUAACAGCAGACUUUCCCUGAUAAGUGGUAAAGCCAAUUAUAAAGUUAUAAUGAUUACAGGAGUGGUAGUACUGGCACAUAUCUCAAAAACAGUAAAAGGAUAAAAUGAUCAUUAAAUUAGUCCUAAGAUAUCAGCUUUAGGAACUUAAAGGAAGCAAGAGAAAGAGCAAGAAAUUAAUUACCCCACAAAUGGAACACGACUCUUUUAAAAAAGUAUAUAUAAUCACACACAGAUGCUUAGAUAAAUUAUCAGGUCUAUCCCUUUAAAAAUUAAAGCAUAAAAUAAAUACUAGGUACAAGGUAAGGGAAAAAAGAGAUUGUAUUUAAACUGCUUUGUGGAGCUCCUGUUGUGGCUCAGCAUAAAACAAACCCAACUAAUAUCCAUGAGGAUAUGGGUUCGAUCUCUGGCCUCGCUCAGUGGGUUAAGGAUCUGGCAUUUCCGUGAGCUGUUGUGUAGGUCACAGAUGCAGCUCGGAUCCUGCGUGGCUGUGGCCGUGGGGUAGGCUGGCAGCUAUAGCUCAGAUUUGACCCCUAGCCUGGGAAUUUCCAUACGCUGCAGGUAUGCUCCCCACCCCACCCCAAAAAAGAAAAAAGAAAAGAAAAGAAACUGCUUUGGGGCUGAGAAAGGACUUUCAAAGCAUAAAAGCAAUGAGCCAAAUCACAGAGUAUAUGGCACACGCGUGGUCAAUUGAUUUUCAGCAAAUGUGCCCCUAUAAUUUAUACUGGGUUAAAUUCAUGUCCGCCCAGAACCUCAGAAUGUGAAUUUAAUUGGGGCUAGGGUCUCUGUAGACGUAACUAGUUAAGCUGAAUUCAUCUGAGGAGAGUGGCCGUUAAAUCCAGUAUGACUGGUGUCCUUAUGAGAGAAGAGACACACACAGAGGAAAGACAGUCAAGUGAGGACGAAGCAGACAGUGGAGGAGCUGAAAGUCAAGGGACGCUAAGAAGUGCCAGCAACCACCGGAAGCUAGGAAGCGGGGAGGGAGUCUCCAGAGAGAGCACAGCUCUGCCUACGCCUGAUUUUGAAUUUCCCCCUUCCAGAACUAGAAGAAAAUUGAUGUCUGUGUUUUAUGCCACCCAGUUUGUAGUCAUCUGUUUUGCCAGCCCUAGGACACACUAACACAAAAUUCAGUGGGAAAAGGAAAUCUUUUAAACAAAUGGUGCUGGGAAUAUUGAAAGCCAUGUGGAAAAAUAAAUAAAACUUGAUCCUUACUUCACACCAAAUAUAAAAGUUAAGUAAAAAUGAAUCGCAUUCAGUGAUACAUUUAGAAUAAAACACAGAUUAAAAUCUUAGCAACCUUGGGUUUGAAAAGAUUUCUAAAAUAGGACACAAAAAGCACAGGCUGUUAAAAAAAAAAGAAAUCAAUACAUUGGACUUCAUCAAAUUUUAAAACUUACACUCUUAAAAAAACAUGUUACAAAAGGUUAACCACCAGAGACUGGGAGAAAAUAUUUGCAAGGCAUACAUACGACGAAGGGAUUAUACCUAAAAUACAUAUUGACUCUCGAAAUUCAAUACUAUGAUAAACAAAACAAAAAAAAAUGGACAAAUGAUUUUAACAGACACUUCACCCA
RNAcentral lists this long non-coding RNA (3388 nucleotides) under Sus scrofa (pig). RNAcentral's name for it is "lncRNA (ENSSSCG00050000175.1)". Lineage: Eukaryota; Metazoa; Chordata; Mammalia; Artiodactyla; Suidae. The record is from RNAcentral.